UGUUUACUUAAUUUUAAGCAAAUUGUUGAGUUUACUAGAAAUGUAUUAGUGUUACUGACAUAGUAAGGUAUAAAGUUCCCAUAACUAAUGUAAUUUGAGUAAAAUUGCUUAUAAGGGCCAAGUCAUGCUGUUACGCAUGCGUACUGGGUGGUGAUUUCCCAUCCCCCAUCUCGAUUCACAACCCAACCCAACACUAUCGUCGAAGGACAGGAUUUCAUAUUGAGAUGUACUGCAGUAAAUCAAGACUACCAGUUUGUGAGCUGAUAUGCAGUGGAAAUUGACAUCCAGAAGGAAGUCAUAAAAAAAACACCAGCUGAUACAAGUGAAACAAAUGCUGCAGAGGAUCUUUGCAGAAUUCACUCUAAUAUUAGGAAGAAAUUUAAGAUCCGAGUUCAACGCUGAAUUGGACACACACUGCUCGUUUGAAAUUUUCAGAGAGAAAAAAGAAAACUAGAUGAGAUUUUGCAACAAGUUUAUUCAAAGUCAUCUGAUGUAAUGCUUGUCCGCACAGCAGUUCUUCCGGGUCUUUCAGUCCUUUUGAGGGAUGAGUCUAAAGAUUGUUUCUGGAUGUGUUUUGAUGUGGAUGUAGAGUCUGACUUCAGUGCAGUAGAUGUUGGCCUGCUGAUUGUCUUGUGUGAAGAUAUCUAAAGGACCUCAAUGUGGAUGCAAUGUGGGCCAUUAUACUGGAAGGAAAAGUGGUUAUGGAUGAUGUCCCUACUUUGCCACACGCAGUAGGUCUGCUUUUUUGCUUUGAUUUACGCACUGAAUUCGGACUUCCCAAAGACUACAAGCAAUGUAUUUACUCAACGUGUGUUGCUUUAGCUGGGAGGGAAGCUUAAUGUGUUUUUUUUUUUUUUUCUGCGAGAGCCUAUA
Molecule: long non-coding RNA, 873 nt
Organism: Danio aesculapii
Lineage: Eukaryota; Metazoa; Chordata; Actinopteri; Cypriniformes; Danionidae
Exons: 6
Source: RefSeq, a predicted model, not a curated record